This 440-nucleotide ribosomal RNA is filed under the name uncultured Hyphomicrobium sp. RNAcentral's name for it is "bacterial SSU rRNA". It matches the Rfam family "Bacterial small subunit ribosomal RNA", at positions 338 to 795 of the family's 1533-position model. Lineage: Bacteria; Pseudomonadati; Pseudomonadota; Alphaproteobacteria; Hyphomicrobiales; Hyphomicrobiaceae. The record is from RNAcentral.
CCUACGGGUGGCAGCAGUGGGGAAUAUUGGACAAUGGGCGCAAGCCUGAUCCAGCCAUGCCGCGUGAGUGGUGAAGGCCUUAGGGUUGUAAAGCUCUUUUGCCGGGGACGAUAAUGACGGUACCCGGAGAAUAAGUCCCGGCUAACUUCGUGCCAGCAGCCGCGGUAAUACGAAGGGGACUAGCGUUGUUCGGAAUCACUGGGCGUAAAGCGCACGUAGGCGGAUUUGUAAGUCAGGGGUGAAAUCCCGGGGCUCAACCUCGGAACUGCCUUUGAUACUGCGAAUCUUGAGUCCGAUAGAGGUGGGUGGAAUUCCUAGUGUAGAGGUGAAAUUCGUAGAUAUUAGGAAGAACACCGGUGGCGAAGGCGGCCCACUGGAUCGGUACUGACGCUGAGGUGCGAAAGCGUGGGGAGCAAACAGGAUUAGAUACCCCAGUAGUC